GGACGAACGCUGGCGGCGUGCCUAAUACAUGCAAGUCGAGCGGAUCGAUGGGAGCUUGCUCCCUGAGAUCAGCGGCGGACGGGUGAGUAACACGUGGGUAACCUGCCUGUAAGACUGGGAUAACUCCGGGAAACCGGGGCUAAUACCGGAUAACACCUACCCCCGCAUGGGGGAAGGUUGAAAGGUGGCUUCGGCUAUCACUUACAGAUGGACCCGCGGCGCAUUAGCUAGUUGGUGAGGUAAUGGCUCACCAAGGCGACGAUGCGUAGCCGACCUGAGAGGGUGAUCGGCCACACUGGGACUGAGACACGGCCCAGACUCCUACGGGAGGCAGCAGUAGGGAAUCUUCCGCAAUGGACGAAAGUCUGACGGAGCAACGCCGCGUGAGUGAAGAAGGUUUUCGGAUCGUAAAACUCUGUUGUUAGGGAAGAACAAGUGCCGUUCGAAUAGGGCGGCGCCUUGACGGUACCUAACCAGAAAGCCACGGCUAACUACGUGCCAGCAGCCGCGGUAAUACGUAGGUGGCAAGCGUUGUCCGGAAUUAUUGGGCGUAAAGCGCGCGCAGGUGGUUUCUUAAGUCUGAUGUGAAAGCCCACGGCUCAACCGUGGAGGGUCAUUGGAAACUGGGGAACUUGAGUGCAGAAGAGGAAAGUGGAAUUCCAAGUGUAGCGGUGAAAUGCGUAGAUAUUUGGAGGAACACCAGUGGCGAAGGCGACUUUC
RNAcentral lists this ribosomal RNA (720 nucleotides) under Rossellomorea marisflavi. RNAcentral describes it as "bacterial SSU rRNA". It matches the Rfam family "Bacterial small subunit ribosomal RNA", at positions 27 to 729 of the family's 1533-position model. The record is from RNAcentral. Lineage: Bacteria; Bacillati; Bacillota; Bacilli; Caryophanales; Bacillaceae.